Molecule: ribosomal RNA, 303 nt
Filed under: Triticum aestivum (bread wheat)
Lineage: Eukaryota; Viridiplantae; Streptophyta; Magnoliopsida; Poales; Poaceae
Description: partial small subunit ribosomal RNA
Source: RNAcentral
AUGGUGUACGACUGUUGCGUCAAUGCCGGGCCCACUUGUCCAGAUAUACAUACGCUUUUCUUCCCAUCUUGGCUAUAUAUAUUGUUCAGUGUAAACAUAGGAAAGGAACAAAAUAGUAGAGCACAACAAAGACAUCAGGUGUGGAAAUUGUAUUUCAUGGUCUUCCCAUUUCACUUAAUAUCUGUCGUCAUAAGGAUGAGAGGUAUCAGGAAAAGGAUUUCCAUUCUGCCAGAGAGUGAAGGUGCGCAACAAUCUAAAUUGUGUUUGUUUAUUUGCAGAACCUUGCAUAUCACAUUCCAUUAG